ACGUUGGCGGCGUGGAUUAGGCAUGCAAGUCGAACGCGAAAGGGGCAACUCCGGUAGCGUGGCGUAAGGGGUAGUAAUCUAUAGGUAACCUACCCUGGGGACUGGGACAUAUGGCCGAAAGGCCGUGCAGUACUAGACACCGUUGCGAGGGGGCAUCCUCAUGCAACGAAACGGAUUCCGCCCUGGGAGGGGCCUAUAUCUUAUCAGCUUGUUGGCGAGGUGACGGCUCACCAAGGCGAUGACGAGUAGGGGGUGUGAGAGGACGACCCCCACCACUGGCACUGAGACACUGGCCAGACUCCUACGGGAGGCUGCAGUCGAGAAUCUUCGGCAAUGGGCGCAAGCCUGACCGAGCGACGCCGCGUGGAGGAUGAAGGCCUUCGGGUUGUAAACUCCUGUUGGGGGGGAACAAUUAAAUGAGUGAUCCCCUGAGGAAGCACGGGCUAAGUUCGUGCCAGCAGCCGCGGUAAGACGAACCGUGCGAACGUUAUUCGGAGUAACUGGGCUUAAAGAGUUCGUAGGCGGCGCUGUCAGUGGGGGGUGAAAUACUAUCGGCUCAACCGUGGAAUUGCCUUUCAUACUGCAGCGCUUGAGGGAAGUAGGGGCGAGUGGAACUUCCGGUGGAGCGGUGAAAUGUGUUGAGAUCGGAAGGAACGCCGGUGGCGAAAGCGACUCGCUGGGAUUCUCCUGACGCUGAGGAACGAAAGCUAGGGGAGCAAACGGGAUUAGAUACCCCGGUAGUCCUAGCCGUAAACGUUGGGUACUGAGUAGGAAGCGUUCCGAUAACGCCUCCUGCUGGAGCGAAAGUGUUAAGUACCCCGCCUGGGGAGUAUGGCCGCAAGGCUGAAACUCAAAGGAAUUGACGGGGGCUCACACCAGCGGUGGAGCAUGUGGCUCAAUUCGAGGCUACGCGAAGAACCUUAUCCUAGGUUUGACAUGCAGGAGGUAGCCCGGUGGAAACACUGGGUGGCCGGUAUCCAAUCCGGAGACCUGCACAGGUGCUGCAUGGCUGUCGUCAGCUCGUGUUGUGAGAUGUCGGGUUAAGUCCCUUAACGAGCGAAACCCUUGUCCUUAGUUACCAGCGGGUCAUGCCGGGAACUCUAAGGAGACCGGCCGGUGUU
This 1121-nucleotide ribosomal RNA is filed under the name uncultured bacterium. RNAcentral's name for it is "bacterial SSU rRNA". It matches the Rfam family "Bacterial small subunit ribosomal RNA", at positions 33 to 1159 of the family's 1533-position model. The record is from RNAcentral.